UGAAGGGAAGAGAGAAAGGCGGAGGCCGCGAGGCCGAGCGUGAGGGGGACAGCGGGGGCGGGGACGCGGGCCGGGCGGCGAGCCGGCAGCCUCUGCUGGAGGAAGCAGUGCCCCCACGGACGCGGAGGGGCCGAGCGGCGGCCGGCAGGAGCCCUGGCGGCGGGCUGCGCGCGCUCCAGCGCCGCGUCGUGCCCGCGUCCCUCCAGGCCUGCCCGCGCCCGGAAGCACGCGCGCCUUCCCUUCAAGGGCACGCCGGCACUUCGGUGUGCUCGGUCCGGGAGCUUGCCUCUUCCUGUCCGCGUCCAGAGGCCGCUGCCGACACAGCAGUGACACGAUACCAAAACACCGGGCUUCCACAGAGAGAAGGCUUGGAAGACACGCCUGCAUCGGCCAUCAAGAGGGCAACGCCGACCCACCGCGGAAUCAGACAGUGUCUGUCAGCCCCUGGCCGGCCGCAGCCUCCAGGCCGUGCCGCGGGUGUGCGUGAGGAGAUGCCCGCCAGGCCGCGGGGCACAGAAAGUGGACUCGGAGCCUGAGCACACUUGACCCUGUCUGCGCUCCCGAGCCACCAGCCCGUCCUUCCCCGGGAGUAGGAAGCGGCUGGCACUUUGUCUCUGAACUCAAAGCAUCAGGCUGCAAUCGGGGCCCCAGCCUGCAUGGACAUCUCAAACCCUGAGUCUGGCAAAGCCAAGGGAGGAAAGAGGUUCCGGUUGGAGCACAGUUUGAGCAGCAGACUCCGGGACAGACACUGGGCCAGGAGCUCCUGGGCAGAGGCUCCGCACAUCAGAUCUUGGGUGCUGGGAACCCGCCCCUCUGGGCCAUGCUCCACAUUCCUCUUCCCUUUCCGGUGCAUGUGCAGUAAUGGAGCCGGAAACUUGUUUGCAGGAUGAAAAGACUUUAUCCCCAAACUGCCCAUCUGUCUGAUCACCUUGCUGAACUCUGAAGGACGUUAACUUCUAAGGACAUAACUGUUGAUUUUCCUGAACUGAGUUUUACUGUGUGGAAAUGGCAGCAGUUCCUCCUACCUUUUAAUAUUUACACCAUCUUAUCUGUGUCCCUGAACUGGGCAGCAUUUCCAGGACAACAGUGAACCUGUGACAUCAGGGGCAGCUCAGGCUGGUUCUGACGUGUUUCUAAUGUCUUAGCAAGAAGGAUUUUUUUUUUUUUUUUUUUUUUGGUAGUUUUAUGGCAGAAAGCCUUAUCAGGCUAAGGAAUUUUUUUACCCAAGUUUGAUAAGAAAUUUAUUAGGAAUGAGUAUAAACUGGGGUGGAAGGGUAUAAACUUUAAGAAAAGCAUUUAAAUAACUUACUGAAAUGAUCAGUUUUUAUGCUAUGAUAGCGAAUUACAUGAGUCGAUUUCUGUUGACAUGAUUUAUCCUGGAAUAAAGCCUAUUGUGAAUUUUUUUAUGUACUAAAAGAUUAUAUGUGCUAAUACAUUUUAUUCAGUACUUUUAAACCAGGUUCUUAAGUCAGAUGAGAUGUCAGCUUUCUUUUGUCUACAGCUUCCUGGCUAUGUUAUGAGUUCAGGGUCAGGUCUGUCUGAUAAAUAACAUGCUUGCAUGAGAAUGAUCUGUUCGAGUACUUGUCAUAAUAUACAGUGGGCUAGAAUCUGUGUGUAGAACAUUCAUGUUCCAUGUACUUUGGAGGAGAAUAAGCCAGUUUGCUCUGCUGGUUGUCAGGACAGAAAUAUACAAUGGACACAGA
Zalophus californianus (California sea lion) is the source of this 1703-nucleotide long non-coding RNA. RefSeq lists it as uncharacterized. Lineage: Eukaryota; Metazoa; Chordata; Mammalia; Carnivora; Otariidae. The transcript has 3 exons. The record is from RefSeq and is a predicted model, not a curated record.